UUUGUAUAUUUAACAAAUGUUUGGUAAUUUGUUUUUGCAAUUUUGAUCCCUUUUCGGUUUCGUACACGACUUGGUGAGUCCACUCGGACUCGCUGAGUUGUGCCGCUUAGGUAGGGGUCGAGUCCUGAACCUGAGCUGAGCUUUCGCACAUCAAGAAAGAUACAUCAACCUCAAUCUUAUUUCCAUAAUAAAAAUAUUUAGUAUUUAUUAGAGUUAGUUGGAUUCUAUAAAUCCUUUCCAACUGCUUACUUAGAUUGAUGGGCUAAUUGAAGGAAACAUUAGGGGAAGCUUCAUGGUGCAUCUCCCUUAGUGGGUUGAGGCUGGAUUUCCUAUGCAAUGCGGACUUUGGGGUAUGGAGAACGUCACCAUCAAUAUCCUUAACCUCUUAGAAAGUUCCUUUUGGAUAGUCUAUGAUGGAGGCUUUGAUUCCCUUUGGCAUUUCUUUCACUUUUUCAGAACCUGAAUCUUCUCACCCAUCACCAAGUUUGACUUUGAGGUUCAUUUUGGUUGAACCUGUAAUUUUCCAGCCUUCCAAACAACCCAAAUUAUUUGAAAAAAACAAAAGGAGGGGGUGGGUUUCCAGUCAAGUUUGACCCAUGUUCAGUAGCUACUGAAACUCAGCUGCUGCCGAUGAUCCAUACGACUAUAGAAAGAGUAUUGUUAAAAGAAUGCCAUGGCGAUCCAAUCAAUGUGUGGAUCGCGAUGGAAAGAGAGUGGGAUCAGUAUUGUUUAAAAAAUGUCAUGACCGUCCAAUCAAUUGGUGGAUGGUGACGGAGCGAGUGACAUGACCCAAUUAGUUACCUUGCUUAGGAGGUUGGAGGUUCAGUUAGUUGGACUACAUAGCCCCAUGACCGUUCAAUCAAUGGGUGGAUGGUGACGGAAAGAGAGUGGGAUCCAUAACAACAAUGACAUGAUCCAAUUUGUUACUUUGAACGAGAGUGGGUCCCACUCUCUCCAUCAUUGCGCAUCUAUUAUCGCAUAGACUGGGUUCAUCAUUGUAUACUUUACCUUGUUUAGGAGGUUGAAGGUUCAGUUAGUUGGACAACAUAGCUCCAUCCUUGUGUGGAAAAUUUGGCAUCUAUGAAGGGUCUAUAACAUACCCCAUUUGCUUUCGAGUGAACUAGGGUCAUUUGAUAGAAGCCUUUCCAAGGUCUCUCGACCCUCUCUUUGGUUGAGAAAUUUACGGUCUUUCCCUUCUAUGGGGGGGAAUGAGUUAGGGUAGAUAUGUUUCAGAUCCUCAGUCUUCUCUUCCAGGAGAAGAGGGGCAUGUGGUUAUCUCCACUCCAGGAGAGAAACCAAAACGUCUCUUUGUAGGAGCAACAUGGCGAAAGAUACUCUGCCUUGAUCAGUUGCUUUUUGGAAAUCUAUUGUUUUCUUAAAAUAUUAAUUUUAUGAAUUAAAUUGAUAUUCAAAUUUGACAAAACUUAUCAUUCAAUUUAGUGCCAGUCUGUUACUCUCCUUUCAAGAGAAAGCUUGGGUUGAGUCCUUCUGACUAUCUUCACUUGCAUAGAAACUACCAUUUUUGUAGCUCCAGUGAGUAGUACUUAUGUCGUACACUUGUAUAUCCUACAUGCAAAUAUAUCCAAUUAAUACAUUUCAAAACACACAUACAUGCAGACACGCACCCUUAAUGGCAGGCAGCUCUUUUGUAGCAAGUCCUGCAUAGCUGAAAUUAGGGAUUAAAACUCAUCUUAUCCAACAAAAAAUACAUUUUAUCUUAUAUAUUUUCUUCAUUUGAUAUCCUGUAUGGAACAUGCAUCUCUAAAUGAUUUGCACAAAGAAGUAAAACUAGCAAUACUUAUCAUUAAUAAGUGACGGCAAUCAGUUUUGUUUGUCAAGAGUAUUUCUUAUUUUGUAUCUAGACGUGCCAUUGAUUCAAGACCUAUCAAGUACUUGAUUCUCAGCCAAGUGCCUUGCUAACUUAAAUAUAUAUUCUACGAAGUAUAUCAACUUUCUAAGCUUUUUUGGCUGUCCAGAGUGGCACCCCACAGUAUGGUCUGUGAUACUUGUUG
Molecule: long non-coding RNA, 2012 nt
Filed under: Amborella trichopoda
Lineage: Eukaryota; Viridiplantae; Streptophyta; Magnoliopsida; Amborellales; Amborellaceae
Description: long non-coding RNA (ATRI_LNC001520)
Source: RNAcentral